Molecule: ribosomal RNA, 872 nt
Filed under: Escherichia coli
Lineage: Bacteria; Pseudomonadati; Pseudomonadota; Gammaproteobacteria; Enterobacterales; Enterobacteriaceae
Description: bacterial SSU rRNA
Rfam family: Bacterial small subunit ribosomal RNA (bases 239-872)
Source: RNAcentral
AGCGUUCUUUGAAGUGCUCACACAGAUUGUCUGAUAGAAAGUGAAAAGCAAGGCGUCUUGCGAAGCAGACUGAUACGUCCCCUUCGUCUAGAGGCCCAGGACACCGCCCUUUCACGGCGGUAACAGGGGUUCGAAUCCCCUAGGGGACGCCACUUGCUGGUUUGUGAGUGAAAGUCACCUGCCUUAAUAUCUCAAAACUCAUCUUCGGGUGAUGUUUGAGAUAUUUGCUCUUUAAAAAUCUGGAUCAAGCUGAAAAUUGAAACACUGAACAACGAAAGUUGUUCGUGAGUCUCUCAAAUUUUCGCAACACGAUGAUGAAUCGAAAGAAACAUCUUCGGGUNCACAGAACUUUCCAGAGAUGGAUUGGUGCCUUCGGGAACUGUGAGACAGGUGCUGCAUGGCUGUCGUCAGCUCGUGUUGUGAAAUGUUGGGUUAAGUCCCGCAACGAGCGCAACCCUUAUCCUUUGUUGCCAGCGGUCCGGCCGGGAACUCAAAGGAGACUGCCAGUGAUAAACUGGAGGAAGGUGGGGAUGACGUCAAGUCAUCAUGGCCCUUACGACCAGGGCUACACACGUGCUACAAUGGCGCAUACAAAGAGAAGCGACCUCGCGAGAGCAAGCGGACCUCAUAAAGUGCGUCGUAGUCCGGAUUGGAGUCUGCAACUCGACUCCAUGAAGUCGGAAUCGCUAGUAAUCGUGGAUCAGAAUGCCACGGUGAAUACGUUCCCGGGCCUUGUACACACCGCCCGUCACACCAUGGGAGUGGGUUGCAAAAGAAGUAGGUAGCUUAACCUUCGGGAGGGCGCUUACCACUUUGUGAUUCAUGACUGGGGUGAAGUCGUAACAAGGUAACCGUAGGGGAACCUGCGGUUG